GGGGACGAUUUGGUUUCGACAGACUAUUUAGGAUAGGGUUAAGCACGUUGUGGGGCAGGUCCACAUAAAUAAGGCAAGAAAAAUAAACGCAAAUAAUAAUUUAAGAGCAGCUGCUUGCUAAUUUAAAGCAGUAAUUUUAUUAAAUUUUCCACCAAAGUUUAAUAAAGUUUCAGUUACUGGUGGUAAAACAAAUAAAUUGCCUAGUUUAUUUGUUUCAUUAUUGGCUCGUUAUUAUAAUUUUUGUUAAUUUAUUUGUAAUAAUUAAAUUAAAAAUUGACUAAACGUGUAGAAGUAUUUUAUUACAUUAGCCUGGACAUGGGUUCAACUCCCAUCGUCUCCACCA
This 343-nucleotide transfer-messenger RNA is filed under the name Clostridiales bacterium. It matches the Rfam family "transfer-messenger RNA". Rfam says of the family: Bacterial tmRNA, also known as 10Sa RNA or SsrA, is named for its dual tRNA and mRNA-like properties. Its role is to liberate the mRNA from a stalled ribosome. Lineage: Bacteria; Bacillati; Bacillota; Clostridia; Eubacteriales. The record is from RNAcentral. RNAcentral also lists the same sequence under 1 other name.